AACGAACGCUGGCGGCAUGCCUAACACAUGCAAGUCGAACGAUGCCUCCGGGCAUAGUGGCGCACGGGUGCGUAACGCGUGGGAAUCUGCCCUUGGGUUCGGAAUAACUCGCCGAAAGGCGAGCUAAUACCGGAUGAUGACGUAAGUCCAAAGAUUUAUCGCCCAAGGAUGAGCCCGCGUAGGAUUAGCUAGUUGGUGGGGUAAAGGCCCACCGAGGCGACGAUCCUUAGCUGGUCUGAGAGUAUGAUCAGCCACACUGGGACUGAGACACGGCCCAGACUCCUACGGGAGGCAGCAGUGGGGAAUAUUGGACAAUGGGCGAAAGCCUGAUCCAGCAAUGCCGCGUGAGUGAUGAAGGCCUUAGGGUUGUAAAGCUCUUUUACCCGGGAUGAUAAUGACAGUACCGGGAGAAUAAGCUCCGGCUAACUCCGUG
RNAcentral lists this ribosomal RNA (433 nucleotides) under uncultured bacterium. RNAcentral's name for it is "partial 16S ribosomal RNA". It matches the Rfam family "Bacterial small subunit ribosomal RNA", at positions 29 to 507 of the family's 1533-position model. The record is from RNAcentral.